RNAcentral lists this ribosomal RNA (453 nucleotides) under Mandrillus sphinx (mandrill). Its description in RNAcentral is "partial 12S ribosomal RNA". It matches the Rfam family "Bacterial small subunit ribosomal RNA", at positions 755 to 1412 of the family's 1533-position model. The record is from RNAcentral. Lineage: Eukaryota; Metazoa; Chordata; Mammalia; Primates; Cercopithecidae.
AAAAGCUUUCAAACUGGGAUUAGAUACCCCACUAUGCUUAGCCUUAAACUCAAUAGUUAAACAACAAAACUACUCGCCAGAAUACUACAAGCAACAGCUUAAAACUCAAAGGACUUGGCGGUGCUUUAUAUUCCCCCUAGAGGAGCCUGUUUCAUAAUCGAUAAACCCCGAUCCACCCUACCCUCUCUUGCUCAGCCUAUAUACCGCCAUCUUCAGCAAACCCUGAUGAAGGCUACAAAGUGAGCGCAAGUGCCCCCGCCGCAAAAACGUUAGGUCAAGGUGUAGCCCAUGAGACGGUAAAAAAUGGGCUACAUUUUCUACCUCAGAAAACCCUACGAUAUCUCUUAUGAAAUCUAAGAGUCCAAGGAGGAUUUAGCAGUAAAUUAAGAAUAGAGUGCUUGAUUGAACUAGGCCAUGAAGCGCGUACACACCGCCCGUCACCCCCUGCAGUCA